AACGAACGCUGGCGGCAUGCCUAACACAUGCAAGUCGAACGAGACCUUCGGGUCUAGUGGCGCACGGGUGCGUAACGCGUGGGAACCUGCCCUUAGGUUCGGAAUAACUCCCCGAAAGGGGUGCUAAUACCGGAUAAUGUCUUCGGGCCAAAGAUUUAUCGCCUUUGGAUGGGCCCGCGUUGGCUUAGCUAGUUGGUAGGGUAAAAGCCUACCAAGGCGACGAUCCAUAGCUGGUCUGAGAGGAUGAUCAGCCACACUGGGACUGAGACACGGCCCAGACUCCGACGGGAGGCAGCAGUGGGGAAUAUUGGACAAUGGGCGAAAGCCUGGUCCAGCAAUGCCGCGUGAGUGAUGAAGGCCUUAGGGUUGUAAAGCUCUUUUACCCGGGAUGAUAAUGACAGUACCGGGAGAAUAAGCUCCGGCUAACUCCGUG
This 433-nucleotide ribosomal RNA is filed under the name uncultured bacterium. RNAcentral describes it as "partial 16S ribosomal RNA". It matches the Rfam family "Bacterial small subunit ribosomal RNA", at positions 29 to 507 of the family's 1533-position model. The record is from RNAcentral.